RNAcentral lists this unclassified non-coding RNA (1236 nucleotides) under Hevea brasiliensis (rubber tree). The record is from RNAcentral. Lineage: Eukaryota; Viridiplantae; Streptophyta; Magnoliopsida; Malpighiales; Euphorbiaceae.
UAAUAUGAAGAUACAUAAAUUUUAUAAGCCAAUCAAUGGAGUAGGAAUUUCAAUUCAUUCGAAAUGGUGCUCAACCACAUUGCAGUAUAUAUUGAGAUUCUGGACUAAUCAUCAAACAAUUAACAAUUGUAUUAAAGUUCAUUAAAGCAAAAACCACCGAAAAACCUCAGCCCCGAAUCAUGGUAUUAAUCUCUUAUUCUGAUACCGACUGUUGCAUACCUUAUCAAUUAAGGACUAGUUAUCAACAAAAACCCCAGUAAUUAAGGCCCGAUAUGACUCAUGUUUGUGGGUUACGGAGCUUCUUCCUUCCUUCAAUUUUACUUGUUUGUCUCAUCAAUCGCUGGGGAUUUCUCAUUUAAUGCAUUGCUGCUAGCGCUAGAUCAGAGAAUCAAAUGACCCCUUUGUUUUCUUGUGGGGCGUGUCAAUUCAUUUUUCAGAAAAUGUUCACACUCCUUGGCUUCAAAUUAACUCAGCACGCCUCUCCUCUGCAACUGCAAUAUCAGAAGUUUGAAUUGGGUUUCACUUCAUUUUCCAAGGGGUGGAUGCUGCUUGUGAUGAAAUCUACAGUCCUUCCCUUGAAGGACGGCCACAGAUAAAAUCAGAUCCAUUCUAUCAAGACGGCGCUGUAUAGAUUUUAAGAGAGAGUUCAAUAACGAAACUCUAUUUCUAACUCCUGAAAUCUUCUCAGCAUACUGCAUAACGAACGGAAAGGGCGCAUCUUCUAACAAUUGAUCAAGCUCUAAUACCACUCAAAAGACAUUAAAACUUUUCAUCUUUUAGAACACAUACACAAGAAAUUUUACAAGAAAUAGAGAAACCAGAAAUAAUUCAACAUCUUAGAUAGCAUGAUAACCUCGGGUAAGACUAUCUAUGGCGCAAUUAAGGUGGUCUUGGCUUUUGAGAGUGUCUUGAGCUUUAGAAUCGAAAUCCCUAAUACUGGCAAGCAUCAUAGAUAAACCCUUGGCCAAUGCAUCGCUGCUCUUGUUGUUUUCAUUGUCAGUAUUGGGCUCAGAUUGGUGUUCUUGAGGGUUGCUUUCACUGGGAUUGUUAUUGCCAUUAGAGGAAACCGGAGGCUCUAUUUGAACAGAAACAGCUAGGCUACUUUCGUCGCUGGGAUUGCAGCCGUCUUUUGGUGCUUCCAUUUACAGUGGGAAUUUCGAGUAUCGGAGCCAGGAAGAAAGAUGAAUUACACGUGGCAACAAACUAAGAAACUAGAAGAGGAUGGCUUCUAACGAA